Long non-coding RNA from Octopus bimaculoides (California two-spot octopus), 2030 nucleotides. Lineage: Eukaryota; Metazoa; Mollusca; Cephalopoda; Octopoda; Octopodidae. The record is from RefSeq and is a predicted model, not a curated record.
ACAGUUUCCUUCUUUGUAUGGAAUGCUUUAUGAACAUUAUCGAUAUCCUGGAUAAAAGUUUGCACAUAAACCUGAAAGUUCUAGCAAUAUUAACAUACUGUAUUUUCUAGUAUACAAGUUGAAUUUUUCAGACCAAAAGUUACAGCCAAAAAAGAUAGUCAACUUAUACUGGACAACUUUUGAGGACCAAAAGUUCUAUUUGAAAUGCAGCAGGAUUCGGAAUGAAAUAUUUACACUAUUUGUUUACACGAUAUACAACAUUAACUUUUGUACUAGAAAAUGAUGGACUCUCCUGUCAAAGAUGAUGUAUGUGUGUUCAGCUAUUUUGCCAAACAGCCUGCACAAAUGAAUUGUGUAUACUAAUCUAAUAUAUGUAUUGUACAUUAGCUCACUCCCUCCAUUAAAUCGAUGUUGCCUGAACAUUAUGUAUCUCGUGUCAGGUGUUGAAGUGAUCACAGAACAACAUGAGAUGAAGUGUUUUGCUCAAGACAACAAUGCACCACAUGGUCUAAGAAUUGAAACCUCAAUCUCACAUUCAUGAAUGUAACACCCAGAAUCGUUUGCAUGCCGGACAAAAUGCAUAGCGCUAUUUUGUCCACCUUUACAUUCUGAGUUCAAAUUCUGCCGAGGUCAACUUUGCUCUUCCUCCUUUCGAGAUUGAUAAAAUAAAUACCAGUUGAGUUGCUGGCCUUGUGCCAAAAUUUGAAACCAGUAUAAUCCCAACUAAGAUUAUGAAUAACCUCUUGUCCUCUGUUUCACUUUAAAUAGAUUUGGUGGUUCCCAAAAAUCUAUCAUUCAGUAAAUACCACCAAUUUUACACAAACCGGGACAAUUUAUCAACCAGUUGAAGAGCUCAUAAAAUUACGUAUUUCUAAUUUCAAUGCUAGAUAUGAUACACUUAGUGAAGAUCAAAUUCUGUAAGUUUUAAUCUUUCUUAUUUUUGUAUAGCUUUGUCAAUUUAUCUUUAUUCUUUUUCCCCGCACAUAUUUAUUCCAUGCUUCAUUACUCAGUUAUUCUCGUUUUUUGCUUUUUUUUUCUUCUCAAAAUUCAUUUUCUUGUUCAUAUUCUUUGAAUGGUGGUAGUCUCUGGUGGGUUGUUACCAAAAGGGUUAAUGACAGUUCUCUCAAUUCAGGGAUUCAUCUUUUAUCUUUUAUUUGUUUCAGUCAUUAGACUGUGGUCAUGCUGGGGUACCACCUUGAAGAAUUUUAGUCAAGCAAAUCAACCCCACUGCUUAGUUUUUUUUCUCUGUUUUUUUUUUUUUCUAAAAGCCUGGCACUUAUUCUAUUAGUCCCUUUGUCAAACGAAUAAGUCACAUGAACAUAAACACACCAAUACCAGUUGUCAAGGCUUUGGUCAGUCGAAGGCUAUAGAAGAAGACACUUGUCCAAGGUGCUACACAGUGGGACUGAACCUGGACCCAUAUGGUUGGGAAGCAAACUUCUUACCAUGCCUGCCCCUGCAAAAGUUAAGUUUGGCUAUUUACCUUUGUUAGCUAUUUAAUGUUGAUUGUAGGACCCACACAUGUAUUAUAUACUAUGGCAUAAAUCUAUAGAAUUAAAUCAUAUUUAGACUUCUCUAACUGGUAACUAUUCACUUUCAUUUUUAUUGUUUUCAGAAAAUAUCAUGAAUUCAACAUCUCUACUAAUUUCUACUUGGUUAAUUCAUACUGGCUGUUUUCCCUGUAUUGGUGUCUGGGUGUACAAUCUGUAACAACAGAUGAAUGUCACGUCUUCAAUAAAAUUGAAAAACCGUUAUGGCAUUUGACUCCAGGAACAUAUCUUAUGACAUGGGUUUCAGUUGAUAUAAUAUCUGCUAUCAUCAUCAUCAUCACCAUACUUAUAGUACAAUGCAGGGUCCGGUUAUUGGAAACAUGCUCCAAUCCUGAGAAAAUUUCAUUACAUUCUCAACAGACAAUGACCAUCCUUACAGACCAGUAUCAGUCUAAUUCAAGAACUAUGAAAGAAAAACUAUUAUUUACUGCUGACUAACUUGAAGAAGACGUUCUGGAAACAACAGAAGGUGUUUCUAAU